AGGAGGAACGGCCCCAGUGGCGGGGCAGCUCUGGAGCCCUGGAUUCAGCCCCCGCAGGAACUCUGGAGCUCUCCGUCGGCAGGGCCUGGAGGCUCCGGGGCGGG
This 104-nucleotide microRNA precursor is filed under the name Canis lupus familiaris (dog). RNAcentral's name for it is "mir-8834 microRNA precursor family". It matches the Rfam family "mir-8834 microRNA precursor family". The record is from Rfam by way of RNAcentral. Lineage: Eukaryota; Metazoa; Chordata; Mammalia; Carnivora; Canidae. RNAcentral also lists the same sequence under 1 other name.